This 376-nucleotide unclassified non-coding RNA is filed under the name Erwinia amylovora. RNAcentral describes it as "16S-23S ribosomal RNA intergenic spacer". The stretch from base 87 to 158 matches the Rfam family "tRNA". The record is from RNAcentral. Lineage: Bacteria; Pseudomonadati; Pseudomonadota; Gammaproteobacteria; Enterobacterales; Erwiniaceae.
CCUGAAGAUACCUUCCGGCGCAGUGUCCACACAGAUUGUCUGAUAGAAGUAAUGAGCAAGGCGCCUGCGAAGUCGCGACACACCGUGUCCCCUUCGUCUAGCGGUUAGGACUCCGCCCUUUCACGGCGGCAACAGGGGUUCGAAUCCCCUAGGGGACGCCACUUGCUUGGUGACAGGUGAAAGGUGUCGCUAAAAAUAUCUUAAAGCUGACUGCAAAGUCAGGUUUAAGAUAUUGCUCUUUAACAAUCCGGAACAAGCUGAAAAUUGAAACGACGUGUCGUGUUCAUUCUCCGUAAUCAGAAUGAAAUCACGAUAUGUUCGAGUCUCUCAAUGCCUGCAACCGACACACGUCUUUCGGGACGCUUGUGGGUUGUGA